CGAUUGAGUAGAAGCGGCUAGCAGUCGGUAACCAAGACACUUACCUUCUCGCGGGGCAUUGCUCGUGAC
This 69-nucleotide non-coding RNA is filed under the name unclassified sequences. RNAcentral describes it as "Xanthine-I sequence". It matches the Rfam family "Xanthine riboswitch aptamer (NMT1 RNA)". Rfam says of the family: Later it was reported as a ncRNA that recognised Xanthine. The record is from Rfam by way of RNAcentral.